Long non-coding RNA from Bufo bufo (common toad), 168 nucleotides. RefSeq lists it as uncharacterized. The record is from RefSeq and is a predicted model, not a curated record. The transcript is spliced from 3 exons. Lineage: Eukaryota; Metazoa; Chordata; Amphibia; Anura; Bufonidae.
GCACCAGUGACGGCUGACAUGCUCGAUGCUCCACCCUAUAUAUAAAUCCUUAUGAUCAGCCGCCUGCUGCCAGGGGACUCUCUGAAGCCAUACCUCACCUAUAUAAAGACACGAGGUAACUCUCCAACAUGAAUGAAGAAUUCCAGACUGAGGGAUUAAUGCUAUUUU